UGGAUUUCCACUUUUCCCAGCACCAUUUGUUGAGGGAGGCUAUCUUUCCUCCAAGGUAUGUUUUUAGCAGCUUUGUCUGAUAUAAGAUUGUGGGGAGCUGCUCUGAAUGACUGCGCCUUCCAGUCCUGAAGCAUGAAGCUCUGACCAAUCACUACAAUUUGUGGUGACUUGGGUGUUGUCCCAGCUGGAAUAGCAAGGCAUGGCUCCAAGUGUAGGUGUCACCCGCAGGGUUGAGCUACACUUAUUUCUCUGUAAUCCUACCCCUUGCCUCAUUUGAAUGGCUUCCUCCCAAUAAAAGGGUACAGCUCUUGUCUCUCUUUCCACAGACCCUUGAGGUCAGAGGAGCCGUCAAAGGACUCAAAAAAAAAAAAAAAAGGUAUUUCUCUGUCUCUGUGUGAUUAUUUCUUGCCAGCCCAGUUCACCAGGAAUGACCUUGAGUGUUUAGUCAUGGAACACAACAUAAGAUAACUGUAAUUUUGUGGGUUAGUGUCAGUGUCCUCUAUUCUGUACUAUCGCUGUACGUGUCUAUUUUGGUGGCAAUACCAUGCUAUUCUUGUUACUAUUGCUCUGUAGUAUAGUUUAAGGUCUGGUUUGGUGAUGCCUCCUGCUUCACUCUUCUUGCUAAGGAUUGCUUUGGCUAUUCUGGGUCUCAUAUUUUUUCAGAUUAAUUUCAUGACUUCUUUUUAUAUUUCUAUGAGGAAUGUCACUGGAAUUUUGAUUGGGAUUGCAUUAAAUCUGUAUAGUACUUUUGGUAAUAUGGUCAUUUUGACAAUAUUAAUUCUGUCUAUCCAAGAGCAAGAGAGAUCUUUACAUCUUCUAAGGUCUUCUUUUAAUUUCUUUCUUUAGUGUUCUGUAAUUUUUAUUGUAUAGGUCUUUCACCUCUUUCGUUGAGUCCCAAGUAUUUUAUUAUUUUUGAGGCUAUUGUACUGGGGUAGUUUUUCUCAUUUCUCUUUUAGAGAAUUUGUCACUGAUGUACAUAAAUGCUUUUGGUUUAUGGCAUUGAUUUUAUAUUCUGCUACUUUGAUGAAUUCAUUUAUUAGUUCUAGAAGUUUUCUGGUGGAAUUUUUUGGGUUUUGUAGGUAUAGAAUCGUAUCUUUGGCAAAUAGUGAUAAUUUGAGUUCUGCAUCCCUUUGAUUUCUUUUAUUUGGCUAGAGUUUCUAGACCUUAUUCAAUAGAAGUGGUGAAAGAGGGCAUCGCUGUCUUGUUCCAGUUUUUAGAGGGAAUACUUUCAAUUUUUCUCCAUUUAGAAUGAUGCUGGCCUGGGGCUUAGCAUAGAUAGCUUUUACAACGUUGAGAUAUGUUCCCGUUAUCCUAGUUUUUCUAGUGUUUUGAACAUGAAGGGGUGCUGAAUUUUGUCAAAUGUUUUUCUGCAUCUAUCAAGAUGAUCAUAUGGCUCUUAUCUUUAAGUCUGUUGAUGUGAUGAAUUACAUUUAUUGAUUUCCCUAUGUUGAACCAAUCUUGCAUCCUGGGAUCUUUUGAGGGCAAAAAUUUAACCUAGAAUAGCCCUCAUAUAUACCCAAGUGCCUCUCUUUAAAGAAGGAAGGUUAGGGACUGGUGGUGCACACCUGUAAUCCCAGGUACUUAGGAGACUGAGGCAGGAGGAUUGCAAAUUCACCAUCAUCCUGGGCAGCUUAGUGAGACCUUGGAAGGAGGAGAAGGAAGGAAAGAAUAAGGAGAAGAAAAGGACAGAUGAUGGGGGAAGAAUGGUUAAAAAUCCAGCAGGAAUAUUUCAACAAGUCUACUAAAGUUUCCAAAAGCAGUAUUUAAAUUAGAAGAGGAGCAUGCAGCUUACAUAUUCAACAGUAUGAUAGUCUGAGUAUCCUGGAAAAGCCACUGUAAACAGAAUCAUGAUUAAAAUACAACCAGAACUACUGUAUUUCAAAAUAAAUUAAUUUUUAUCUCAAAAAAAUCAGGAAUACCUGCUAAUAAACUGGAACCUAGAAACUUGUUUGUGAACUUUUAAAAAAAUUGAUAGUCUGGGCUGCGGUUGUGGCUUAGCAGUAGAGCGCUCGUCUCAGGGGUGCAAAGCCCUGGGUUUGAUCCUCAGCACUACAUAAAAAUAAAUAAAAAUUUGAUAGUCUAUAGACAAUAAAGUGUACCAAUCUUAAGUGAACAGCAUGAUGAAUUUUACCUAUAUAUAUGCCUGUAAAAUGCUAUGUAGAUCAAUAUUUAAAACAUACUCAAAAUCUCAAAAGGCUGUCUUGUGCCUGUUCUCAGCUGAAUCUCUCAAAAGGUAGACAUUUCUCUAACUCCUACUUCCACAGGUUAGUUCUGCCUGUUUGUGAAUUUUACGAAAGUGGAAUAAAGUAGUGUGUUAGUUAUCUUUCCACCACUGUGACGAAAUAACCUGAGGUAAUCAACUUAGAAGGAGGAAAGGCUUAUCUGGCUCAUGGUUUCAGAGGUCCAGUGCAUGAUUGGAUGGCUGUGCUAUCUUGGGCCUGUGGCAAGGCAGAGUAGAGAACAUGUGGUGGGUCAACCUGCUCACCUCUGGCAGCUGGGAAGUGAGAGGUAGGAAGGGGUCAGGGUCCCAAUGUAGCCUUCAAGGGCACACACCUUCCCUCCCAGUGAUCUAAUAUCUCAGCCCCUAAGCCCCACCUCCUCAAGGCUCCACCACCUGAGGCCACGAUCAGGCCUUCCAAAAAAGAGCCUUGGGAAACAUUCAGGAUCCAAACCAUGACAAGUGGUGUGCUUGGUUUCAAUGGUGGGAUGGUGGACAGGAGGCAGAUGAUGUGGCUGGGCAGAGGGAUGAGACACACCCCCUGCAAGCGAUGGCUAAGAGUAAAUUCCUGGAGCAUCAUAGGGCAGGGGCUGUAGCUUAGUAGCAGAGGGCCUCACAUGUCCAAGCCUCAGCACCACAAAAAUAAAAUAAAGGCAACAUAUAUACUUCAGAGCACUUCAGAUAUUAAAAUUUUCAAAUACAGAGUGUAAAAUGUUAUUCUUAAAAUGUUCACAGAGGGUUUCAAGAUGGCCAAAUAGAGAAGGUUGCUUUCCUAGCUGCUCUGUGGCAUGAAAUCUCGAAAACAGAUAGGCAGCUUCUCAGCAAAGGGGCGAACAAAAAAAGGUGAACAUUCAAGUACUGGACAUUCAAAGCAGAUUGGGGACCCACGAGGUUGGAUAUAAUAACAUAAGGACGAAGUCCCCAGUGACCAGAGGCAGCAGCCAGAGCGGUCUCUCCAGGAGCCAAGUGCAGGAGCAAGGGGAUUCAAGGGACCUGCAUUUUAGGAGGUGGAGGUAUGUCUGGGUACAGAGUUCAGAGAUCCAAGAACUGCCCCACUAACCGGAAGGGCUGCACAAUAUCCUUGUACAGGAAAGAAGCCCCAUUGAGCCAUUCAUUAAAAGGAGUCACCCAAUAAAUAACUUAACCUCAACUCUUAAAGCCCUAGAAAAAG
This 3389-nucleotide long non-coding RNA is filed under the name Marmota monax (woodchuck). Lineage: Eukaryota; Metazoa; Chordata; Mammalia; Rodentia; Sciuridae. The record is from RNAcentral.